Molecule: long non-coding RNA, 605 nt
Organism: Capra hircus (goat)
Lineage: Eukaryota; Metazoa; Chordata; Mammalia; Artiodactyla; Bovidae
Exons: 3
Source: RefSeq, a predicted model, not a curated record
CAGUGAGAUGUGCGCUCCUCGGAGCGCGGGGCUCACGCCCACAGCGUUGUGGACCAGCUGCAGGGGCCUGAGCUGCCUUAUUUGGUAGCAGAGCCGGCCGUGAUGCUCGGCUCCGAGGUGCUUCCUGAAGUCUGCCUGGGGUCUGCGGUUCCUCACUGCUUCCCGCUCCAGUCUUUCAUUCAACCCUGUGAGGACAGUGACCUCAAAGAUCUAGUUUAUUUUUAUGUACCCCGCACCUUUCAAGUUAUUUUCUGAUGACUGCUUCCUGAUGUUCUGGCCAAUGCAAUAUGAUAAGAGGAAGAAACUGAAGACAUACAACUUUGUAAACAGAGACUGCAAACCGGGCAUGAGUCCUGAGCGGCAGCUGCUGUUCUCCGUGGGCUCUUCACCUGGGCUCAGAGCUACAUGAAUCCUUCUCUGUUCAUCUCACUUCGGCUUCCUUGGCCUUUCCCCUCUUCAUUUUUCCUCCUGUGCCUUCAAGACUACUUAUCUUCCUCCUUCAGCAGUUCAAUUUUAAUUAUCCCUUGCUUCAUGACCUCAUGGGGCUUCUCUGGUGGCUUAAACGGUCAAGAAUCUGCCUGCAAUGCAGGAUACUCAGAUUCAAU